RNAcentral lists this ribosomal RNA (468 nucleotides) under uncultured bacterium. RNAcentral's name for it is "partial 16S ribosomal RNA". It matches the Rfam family "Bacterial small subunit ribosomal RNA", at positions 28 to 507 of the family's 1533-position model. The record is from RNAcentral.
GACGAACGCUGGCGGCGUGCUUAACACAUGCAAGUCGAACGGAAAGGCCCUGCUUUUGUGGGGUGCUCGAGUGGCGAACGGGUGAGUAACACGUGAGUAACCUGCCCUUGACUUUGGGAUAACUUCAGGAAACUGGGGCUAAUACCGGAUAGGAGCUCCUGCUGCAUGGUGGGGGUUGGAAAGUUUCGGCGGUUGGGGAUGGACUUGCGGCUUAUCAGCUUGUUGGCGGGGUAGUGGCUUACCAAGGCUUUGACGGGUAGCCGGCCUGAGAGGGUGACCGGCCACAUUGGGACUGAGAUACGGCCCAGACUCCUACGGGAGGCAGCAGUGGGGAAUAUUGCACAAUGGGCGGAAGCCUGAUGCAGCAACGCCGCGUGCGGGAUGACGGCCUUCGGGUUGUAAACCGCUUUCGCCUGUGACGAAGCGUGAGUGACGGUAAUGGGUAAAGAAGCACCGGCUAACUACGUG